UUAUCAUGCUUCCCUCGUCUUUGUCCCCUGCUGGCUGCUUUGCACACUUCCCUUUUCCCUUCCUGCUCAGAGGAGUGCCCUGGUGAUUCUCUUUCUGGUUAUCCUGUCGGGUUUCACAGAGUUCUUGGAUCUGGAGAUGGAUGCUGUGGGCAAAUUUGGAAAUUUUUGGCUUUCUCAAACAUUCUUCCGCCCCAUCCUCCCUCUCCCCUCUGGACAGCGACUGCAGGCUCUCACCCGCUUGGCGCUUUCUGGCAGGCCCCAGGCAUGAAGCCCCAGACCCGCAGCUUUCCCGGCACCCGUGAGCCUGGCCACGGACCCUUGAUGGACAGUCCUCUGUCCCGAGCAUCACCAGAGCAUCACCAGAACCAAAGCCUGGGCCAUGCUAGACUCUUGCUCAGCAUUUGGAGGUAUGUGUAGGGCAGGCGAUCAUGGCUAACACCUGCACAGUCUUCAGGAUGCGUCAGGCACCCCCUAAGUGAUUCCCAUCACAAGGGUCAGGUAGGCAAGACCCCAGGCCGCUGGUCAGAGCCGCAGGCUCGCGAGGCCCUCCCUGCCUGGGGGAGCACGUGGUGGAAUCCAUGCAUUUCCUAAGCAGAGCUGAAGCCCACAGAACUCAGCAGCUGGUGUGGCAUCUGGGGUCCCAUGGCUGGGCGUGGGCUGGGAUGUUUGCCAGCUGCCACCCGGCCAGCUCCCUGUCAACCCCUCCAGGCCCAGGAGGUCCCUGGGACGGAGGGACCCAACCCAGCAAGGGGGCGUACCCUAGCCAAGGGUGGACAGGCAGGAUCCCAGGAGUCAGAUCCGACUCAUCAUCCAGGCCUGGGUCAUACUUGCUCCUCCAUGAAGCCUCCUGAUGACAGGCAUUUGUGGGGCCCCACCUUUCUGCAUGAGCCUGUGUCCCCUUGCUGGUGCCUCGAAGGCAGUGGUCCUCGGGGAUGCACAGUGAACACCUGAGCACCCUAUUGCCAUGUGCAUAUUGACCUCCAUCUGCACAGUGGCCCCCAAGGGCAGGAUGCAUCUUCCCCACAUUCUCAUCCACAUGCCAUUUUCCAUGGGCCAAGGCGGGGGCUGGAUCAAGGCAGACAGCUGCCAUGUACCCAGGGUCCCCCCCACCCAGGCCGCCUCGGCUCCGGCUGUGGAAAACAGCGCUCCUUCCGCCCACCUCUCCUCGUUUCCCUUUCCCGUCUUCUGGGAUACCCUCCACAAAGGACCAGUCCAGCAUCCGGCCUUCAAGUGCAAAGGACCCUCCACUGACAAGCAUUCCAAACAGUCCUUUGGCAGACAGAUGCCACAGAGGUGUGCGCAAGAAAUUCGAGAUAUCCUCUGCACGUCUCCCAGUUCUACCCUCGCAUCUGCGGCGGAUCGUGCCUCCUCCUUGGGCCCACUCCAGCCUGUUCUGAGCGGACCCAUCCCUCAGCCUGUGCAUCUGGGGCCACAAGCAUUGGCACCUGCCCGAUCCUCUCUGGGUGGACCUCUGGAGUGUGGACCCCUGGUCCAGGUUCCUUGGAUGCACCUAAGCUCAUCGUGAGCAGGACGUCCUUCCCGUGCAGCUGCCCACUUGCCAGCGCAGAGCUGUACACCCAGCAGGUGCUCGACACUUAGAGAUGUUCAGUGGUUAAUGUCAGGGGUGUGAUGCCCUGCACCUGGGGUCACUCGGCUGGACACUGGGGGUACAGGGUUAUUCCACAACACAGAUGCCGAGGCUCCGGCACCCCGUGCUGCUCAUGCAUGAUCUCACUUGACCCCACAACCCAGCGAAGCACCAACUAUCUCUACUACAGAUGGGAAAACCGGGAACUCGGUCUUUCACUUAAUGACCUGUUUCCAUGCAACAGGGGCUAAGAAACUUCCCUAAGGCCUCAGAGUUGAUGAGGUGGCAUGUCCAGUACACACGUCACCGGCGCUAUAGCUGGCAGCCCCGACAGUGCCCCUUCCUGGGCUUCUCACGUGUGUGUAAUCCCGUCCUGGGAUGGGAGCUGGACACAGUGAUUUGCUUCUAAGCGAGAGAACAUGGCAAAGGAGAUGGGUCAUCACUUCCAUGGUGAGGGUAUUAGUUGCCACCUGGCAGAAGCCCACACAGCAAGGCCCUGAGAGUGGCCUCCCACCAACAGCCAGUGAAGACCUAAGGCCCUCAGUCCAACAGCACUCAGGGAACUGGAUCCGGCCAACAGCUGGGUGAGAAAGCUUGAAAGCAGAUCCUUCCCCAGUUGAGCCUCCUGAUGAGACUGUAGCCAUGGCUGAGAGCGUGAGAGAUCCCGAAGUGAGAACCCAGGCUGCAAGAUCACUGCAGGUCGGCUGGGGACACCCUCUGGGCCUGCUGGUCAUGCAGCUGCUCCGUGGAACGCGGCUGGUGGCACGCAAGAGGGAACCACUACUUGAGAGUGGAAGAGCCACGCGUCACUUUUGAUCAGAUCGUCAGCCAGAACGAGCCUCAGGCCCCAGGCGGCCCGCGGCACCGGGAGUGAUUCCUCUGUGCCCCUGGGCUGCGGGCAGGCCCGCCUCAGGGCACUGGCUGGGCGGGUGAGAGGGAGCCCCACACGCUCUCCAGGCCUGGAUGCCCAAGGAUUGUGGGGACUCCCCAGGAAGCCUUCUGGGCUGGCGCCUGCCCACAUCCUAACAGCCCCCCAGGAACAACCCUGUCGGCGUGCAGGCCCGCGGUCACCUUCCGUCCUCCUCCUGUGACCACCGCCGGCAUGUGAGUUUCCGCGGUCCCACGGCUGUGCUCACACAUCAGCCGAACACAGGGGGAAGGCCCUGGUCACAUGUAAGAAGACAGCCAGUCACAUUCCUUUAUGUUGGAAACAGUCAACUUGAUUUAUUGAGAAACGAUUACAAUUAUUCAUCUGUUACACAGGCUUAAAAUAUUUUAAAACACCCUUUCCUGGGCAUCACAGUUACGAACAUGUCUGUGGGAUCUUCAGGAAAUGUACAGGGUGUCAUUUUUGACAUUCUGUUUUAGAGGGUCUCGUGUCCUAGAAUCUCUACCAUAGGUUUUCUGUUUACCAUUUUCUUUUUCUUUUCUUCAACACGUGUCCAAUGAUACAGGUGAAAAAAAAUAAAAUUACGCCAAAAGAAAUUUCUGCAAA
Molecule: long non-coding RNA, 3083 nt
Organism: Manis pentadactyla (Chinese pangolin)
Lineage: Eukaryota; Metazoa; Chordata; Mammalia; Pholidota; Manidae
Exons: 3
Source: RefSeq, a predicted model, not a curated record